Molecule: long non-coding RNA, 603 nt
Organism: Brassica rapa (field mustard)
Lineage: Eukaryota; Viridiplantae; Streptophyta; Magnoliopsida; Brassicales; Brassicaceae
Source: RefSeq, a predicted model, not a curated record
CAUUUUCUCCAUUCUUUGUUUUUCAUUCUCUAAACAAACAUCUCUAAAUAAUAUCUCUUCUCCAUUCUCUUUUUUUUUCCAUUCUCCUUCUCAUGUUCAUUCAUUUUAUUCACUUCUUUCAUCUAAAUCUAAAACAAUUUCCACACAUAUAUGGCAUCUUCCUCCCACAACUCUCUUGAGGGACCAAUUGAUGAAAUUUUCGAUCAAUAUUUUGAUCAAUAUUUCGAUCAGUAUUUUGAUCAAUAUUUCGAUCAAUAUUUUGAUAAACAUUUUGAUCAAACGUUCGAAAAUCUGGUAUCAAAAGUUGAAAGGAGGGCAAUGAAGAAGAUGUUAGACGAUGGAUUCGAAGACAAGGCCAAAGACCAGAGGAAACUGAAGUGUAAGAAACUUGCGGAUAAAGGGAUGCUUAAGAAACGGAGCAAAUCGAGAAAAUCCGCUGAAGAAAACUGAUGACUAAAAUCAUUUUCAAAUUUAGUUCUCUUUUGCAGUUUGAUCAGUAAAUCUCUGAAAAUCGAUGUUUAUUAAUGUUCUUACUUUUUAGUCUUUGAAUUUGAUUGUUUGCAUCCUCAAAUCUUUUGGUAAGAAACAAUGUAUUAGUCGCCA